GCAUUGUCUGCAAUGUCACAAAGUUAGACACAACUAUAAUAUCCUUCAAAAGGGCACUUUAAAAAAGUCAGAAACAACUUUAAUGUCCUUCCUUUGAAUACUAUACAGCAUGGAACGUGGAUGAGGUAGAGGUACAUCUUUCUCAACAGAUUAAUCUUAUACGUAUAACACAGAACACAAACCCAAUGAUAUCACUGAAAGCUUAAAAACAUUUAAAAAUAUACAGACUGUCUAUGGAUACAUGUGUGUAAAAGAUGCAAUCAUCCACGGUAAUAAUAAGCAUCGAAUUUAAAUUGAAGCUGGGAAGGGAGAAGGGGCAUGGGACCAGGAGGUGCUUUAUCUCUCUCUCUCUUUUUUACAGGUGGCUGGGAAGAUCUAAAGCACAUAUGGCAUAAAGAUAGGACGAAAUGAUAACACACAUGCAUUUGCUAUCUUAUUCUCCAUAUUUCCUGUUUGCCUGAAAUUGUUCAUAAUAGAAAAAUACUGUGUUCUGCACAUUUUAAAGAUACCAACAGACAUCAUCCCUUUUCCUAGGGGCCUUCCAAGGCAGCCAGGGCAAAUGUCUCUCUUAUGGACCGAUGAUGAGGGUGAAGGAGGAGUGGGCAGGCGGGCACACGAUUUACCAUCAGAGGGCUCGGAGCCCCUGGGCAUCACAUUGCGAGGCUCACGCCACUCAUUCCGUAAUUUAUGUAACACAGGGAACUGGACCAUGGCGCAAUUCAGGGUAGGGUAGGCGGCCGAAGGAGAGGACAGCCUCUUCCCUUCUGGAACAAACCGCAGCCUGAGGAAGGACAAUGACAUAACUUGACAAAAAGGGAAGAAGACAGGCUGCCCCGGUCAUCUGACAGCUUUUCAAUGAAUCUGUAAUUCUUUCGUGGAGAGGCUGAGUAUUCACUGUGCACCUGCGGAGGAGGAGGAAGUGAGAGAAGUGACCUCCGGUCUGGUCACUUCGCCUUCAGAGCGCUGCACCCUGGGCCAACAGGAUGCUGCAGUCGGGGCGCAAGCCUGGAGAUCCGCUCCGGGAUUGGUCCCUUCCAUGCUCUGCCUUUCAGCUCUUCUUCUUUUCAAACUGAGAAGGUGGACUGCCAUGUCAAGGACACAAACGAAUGACCGAAGAGAAAAAAGUAAUGCAUACAUCACGGGAUGUGUUUGACAAAUGUGAAGUUCAACCUAGCAAUGAGAGAGAGAUGCUCUUAAUCUCCUCUGAGGCUCCAUGAGAACAUGAUCUGCUUCCUUCUUCUGGUUUCCAGCUUCUUUAAUACCAAAAACUUCUCCUUGAAAUGCGAGAUCUUUGAAGAGUCCAUCUCGAGAUUUCCAGAGGGUUCAUUUAAGCCAAAUGCUCUUCGUACAAGUCAGACCAAGGAUCUCCAUCUGUAAGUUAAUUACAAAUUCCACAGCAGGCAAGCCAAGCAAUAGAUUGCAGAGACUUAUCCAAGCUCGCUACAGAUUCAUCCAGAAUAUGAUCCACCGGAGAUGCAGGAUAACGUCUGAGGCUAUUCCUCAUACACAAAAGUGCCACGAAACAAGGGAGUUUCUUGGUGGUGACGGAAUGGUUCUGUAUCCUGAUGACAGGGGUGGUUACGGGGACCUAGACAUGGGGUGAAGUGCACAUACGGGCCCACACCAAUGAGUGCAUGUGAAACCUGGUGAAAUCUGAAGAAGAUUCUGGAGAUUUCACUCGUGUCAGUUUCCUGGUGUUGGUUGGGUGUAUCCUCUACCUACAUUAUACCCGAAGCUUGAGUUAGGCAAGACACUACCAUUGGGGGAAACCAGAUGAAGAGUACCUGGGACCUCUCUGUGCUAUUUUUGCGACUUCCCGUGAGUCUAUAUUUAUUGCAAAACAAAAAGUUUCAAAAGUGGCAUGACCAAGUUAGCACUUGUCCAGCAGUAGCUCGCCUAUCUUAACCUAAUUGUAUUUGAAGGUCUAGGCUGCUGCUUUUUUCUACUCCCUGUACUUUAAAGUAUUUCCUAUGACCCUUCUCUAAGAAAUGAAGUCAACCUAUCUUCUCAUCUGUACAUCGUGCUCUCUGAAUAGGAGGGCCGUGGAGAGGGGCUGCGGAGGGACAACGGGUUCUGAAUGGCUCACAGCCGGCUCACCAGCAUCAGGCAUCACCACCAGCGUUCUGAGAAGAUAGUAGCUUUCAGCUGUUUCAUGGGUAUUUCUAAUGACACAGAGGUUUAAAGAGUAAUCAGGUCCUAGCACCAAGAGGCAAACAUAGAGAUGAGGCCAUUGGCUAAGGAACAGGGAGGAGAGAAGAGUCUAAGUCAGGCCAAGACCUGGCUCUUUUUUUCUGUCUCCACAAGCUUCUCCCAGGACUUCUCGUGGCUCUGCCUCCUCUUACAAGCCUGGAGCCAAAGCAAGAUCCCCUGUGACACUCUAAUCCAAACGUGUCCUCCCCCUGCCCCAGCUACCCGGCAUUAUCCUUUUGGUUGUCUACCAUCACCUUACCUUUGGCUUUACUCAUUUAUCAGCUCUAUUUCUGCAUUCAGAUAUGAGCUCCAGGAGCAGCCUGUCCCCUCUCUUCACCAGCAUAGCCCCAACACUGAGGACGACAGUGCGGUAACUAUUUACUGACUAAAUGAGAAAAUGCGUAACACAUCUCUAAAACAAUGGCCAUUAGACCAUGGAAAAUCUCAAACAGAUCAUUAUUAAAUGACACAGAGCCUUCAUUAACAAUCAUUCAGGCUGGUUUGCGUAUGCCAAGAUCAUUUUACAUUUGGCUAAGAGAGUAAACAUAACAAAAAUUCGAGCGGUGGUUUUUAGUGCUAGCAGCAGAGUUCAAGAGCUAUGGGAAUCCCAAUGGAAAGACGUGAUUCCUGUUGAAUUUUCUGUCUGAGGUAGAAAGAGACCAGUAGCAGGUGAGGAGAUAGAUGGGGAGACAGGAAUAAGCGUCUAUCUGAAUACACACACGCGCGCGCGCACUUUCUCAUUUCCAAAGAUGUAAUGAGAUCUUGAUGCUUCCUUUACCCUUGUUAAGUCAGCCUGCAAUGAAUGGGGAGUCCCCUGGGAGUGGACAGAAAAGCACCAGGGAGACAGGUAUGGUGGGAAUGGUGGCACAGGCAGGCAGAAAGAACGCAGAAGGAGCCCCGGUGAGACACGGAGAGCAUCCCGGAUGGUGUCGCCAGCUCCACUGUGUGGGCUCCUAAGGGUCGUGAGAGCUCAGGAGUGAGGGCUGCCCUGUCACCAAAUCAUCAGUCUGGAGCUGUCUUCCCCCUGGAAUAAAGUCACAUCACUGUUCAAAACAGGAAAGGCUUUGGACCCACCACACUCAAGAUGUCAGAGGAAA
Molecule: long non-coding RNA, 3287 nt
Organism: Zalophus californianus (California sea lion)
Lineage: Eukaryota; Metazoa; Chordata; Mammalia; Carnivora; Otariidae
Exons: 3
Source: RefSeq, a predicted model, not a curated record